RNAcentral lists this ribosomal RNA (253 nucleotides) under uncultured bacterium. Its description in RNAcentral is "partial 16S ribosomal RNA". It matches the Rfam family "Bacterial small subunit ribosomal RNA", at positions 524 to 776 of the family's 1533-position model. The record is from RNAcentral.
UACGGAGGGAGCUAGCGUUGUUCGGAAUUACUGGGCGUAAAGCGCACGUAGGCGGUUAUUCAAGUCAGAGGUGAAAGCCCGGGGCUCAACCCCGGAACUGCCUUUGAAACUAGAUGACUAGAAUCUUGGAGAGGUCAGUGGAAUUCCGAGUGUAGAGGUGAAAUUCGUAGAUAUUCGGAAGAACACCAGUGGCGAAGGCGACUGACUGGACAAGUAUUGACGCUGAGGUGCGAAAGCGUGGGGAGCAAACAGG